Molecule: unclassified non-coding RNA, 514 nt
Filed under: Hevea brasiliensis (rubber tree)
Lineage: Eukaryota; Viridiplantae; Streptophyta; Magnoliopsida; Malpighiales; Euphorbiaceae
Source: RNAcentral
UUAACGGGUGCUCAGAAGGAUUACAUUGUAGUUGGGUCGGAUUCAGGUAGAAUAGUGAUAUUGGAUUAUAAUAAAGAGAAGAACUGUUUUGAUAAAGUACAUCAGGAGACUUUUGGUAAAUCGGGUUGUAGGAGGAUAGUUCCGGGUCAGUAUUUAGCUAUUGACCCAAAAGGUAGGGCUGUGAUGAUUGGUGCUUGUGAGAAGCAGAAGCUUGUGUAUGUUUUGAAUAGGGAUACUGCAGCUAGGUUAACAAUUUCGUCGCCUUUAGAAGCUCAUAAGAGCCAUACGAUUACAUUUUCGAUAUGUGGGGUUGACUGUGGAUUUGAUAACCCGAUAUUUGCUGCUAUUGAAUUGGAUUAUUCGGAGGCAGAUCAGGAUCCGACAGGCCAAGCUGCAAAUGAGGCUCAAAAGCAUUUGACAUUUUAUGAAUUGGAUUUAGGACUUAACCAUGUUUCGAGGAAGUGGUCUGAACAAGUCGAUAAUGGUGCUAAUUUACUUGUGACUGUUCCUGGAG